GGGCCUGUAGCUCAGUUGGCAGAGCAGUUGACUCUUAAUCAAUUGGUCGAGUGUUCGAGUCACUCCAGGCCCACCA
Molecule: transfer RNA, 76 nt
Filed under: Deltaproteobacteria bacterium
Lineage: Bacteria; Pseudomonadati; Myxococcota; Myxococcia
Description: tRNA-Lys
Rfam family: tRNA
About the family: Transfer RNA (tRNA) molecules are approximately 80 nucleotides in length. Their secondary structure includes four short double-helical elements and three loops (D, anti-codon, and T loops). Further hydrogen bonds mediate the characteristic L-shaped molecular structure. tRNAs have two regions of fundamental functional importance: the anti-codon, which is responsible for specific mRNA codon recognition, and the 3' end, to which the tRNAs corresponding amino acid is attached (by aminoacyl-tRNA synthetases). tRNAs cope with the degeneracy of the genetic code in two manners: having more than one tRNA (with a specific anti-codon) for a particular amino acid; and 'wobble' base-pairing, i.e. permitting non-standard base-pairing at the 3rd anti-codon position.
Source: RNAcentral